This 492-nucleotide ribosomal RNA is filed under the name uncultured bacterium. Its description in RNAcentral is "partial 16S ribosomal RNA". It matches the Rfam family "Bacterial small subunit ribosomal RNA", at positions 29 to 507 of the family's 1533-position model. The record is from RNAcentral.
AGUGAGCGCUGGCGGUAGGCCUAACACAUGCAAGUCGAACGGCAGCACAGUAAGAGCUUGCUCUUACGGGUGGCGAGUGGCGGACGGGUGAGGAAUACAUCGGAAUCUACUUUUUCGUGGGGGAUAACGUAGGGAAACUUACGCUAAUACCGCAUACGACCUACGGGUGAAAGCAGUGGAUCUUCUGACCUUGCGCGAUUGAAUGAGCCGAUGUCGGAUUAGCUAGUUGGCGGGGUAAAGGCCCACCAAGGCGACGAUCCGUAGCUGGUCUGAGAGGAUGAUCAGUCACACUGGAACUGAGACACGGUCCAGACUCCUACGGGAGGCAGCAGUGGGGAAUAUUGGACAAUGGGCGCAAGCAUGAUCCAGCCAUACCGCGUGGGUGAAGAAGGCCUUCGGGUUGUAAAGCCCUUUUGUUGGGAAAGAAAAGCAGCAGGUUAAUACCCCGCUGUUCUGACGGUACCCAAAGAAUAAGCACCGGCUAACUUCGUG